This 440-nucleotide long non-coding RNA is filed under the name Mus musculus (house mouse). Its description in RNAcentral is "predicted gene, 21679". The record is from RNAcentral. Lineage: Eukaryota; Metazoa; Chordata; Mammalia; Rodentia; Muridae.
GAGGACCGUAUUCAUGGAAGAGGAUCGAACAGAGAUGAAGUAGACAGUAUGUUGGAUAAAUCUGAAGAUGACAUUUAUAAGACGCUUCACAUAAAGAGAAAAUGGAUGGAAACUUAUGUCAAAGAAUCUUUCAAAGGCAGGAACCAGAAAUUAGAAAGAUUUUGCAAAAUGAACGAACGAGAGAGGAAGAACAUCAACAACAAAUUUUGUGAGCAGUAUAUAACUACAUUUCAGAAGUCUUAUAUGGAUGUACAGAAAUUCAAUGAGGAAAAAGAAAAAUCAGUGAAUAGUUGUCAAAAAGAACAACAAGCAUUGAAACUGUCCAAAUGUAGUCAGAACCAGACCCUGGAAGCAGGUAAAGAAAUGCAUGAGAAGUCCAUGGAGCUGCAUCAUUGGACUCAAACUGAAUGGUCCAUGUGUUGCCACUGAUGUGAGCCAUU